Brassica rapa (field mustard) is the source of this 3889-nucleotide long non-coding RNA. RefSeq lists it as uncharacterized. NCBI's taxonomy places the organism in Eukaryota, Viridiplantae, Streptophyta, Magnoliopsida, Brassicales, Brassicaceae. The record is from RefSeq and is a predicted model, not a curated record.
GACGACGCUCGUGUCUCGGUUCCAUUUAACGAACGGCAAGGCGUUCAAACAUCUGAUGGGAAUCAGAAACAUGUGGACAUACAUAAUGGACGAAGACGAUAAAUCUACUUAGAAAGUUAACAUAUUCGUGAACUUACACUCAUUCCAAAUCAUUUUUCAUUAACUAACACAUUAGAAGUGAGGUGUAGUGUAGAUAGACCGGGGAAAAUGGUACGGUUUGUAACAUGGGGAGUUGUAUAUAGGCCCGGUCCAUGGCAUAAGCCACAUAAGAGGUUGAUUCCUAUCAUUGCAUUCAAAAAUUCAUUACAAAUUUGCAUUAUAUGUUUAAUUGUAUAUUUUCUUAUAUUGGCUUUGGGCUUUAAACAAAUUUUGUUCUUGUUGGUCGGGCACUCCAGUAUAUUUACGUGGAAAUGCAAAGAUAAAUGUAUUGAUUAAAAUAUACAUGUGAAAGUUUUGGGAUGUCUACUUCAGGACAAAGCAUCUCCAUAAUGUGAUGCAAUGAUAGCAACGAUAGAAUGAAGGGAAAAGGAGAGAGCUAAGCUAGAGAUGGUGGCUAACAAUAUAAAGCGCAAAGAGUAAGUCAGAGGAAUCAUCAAUGGAUAAUCUGAAACUAAAAAGAGAGGGUCUGAUGGUGAGAAGAGGAGUAUACGUAGAAUCUCCUUUUUGCAACAAUCUCAUCACUUUGAAAGCAAUAACAACUCCAGGAAUCACCCUCUCCUAUCUCUGAUAAGUUUAUUUGCAUCUUAUGAACUCCUUCAUAAGUUAUAUAUUUGGUUCUAAAUUCUAAUAGUAAAGUUCUGUUAGUUAGUUAGCUUUGAUCCAUUUUGUUGUAUAUAAGAUACUCAAAAGGAUGGCUAUGUAUGAACAGUAGUAGAGAUAAUAUCAAUAGUAUAAUUAUAACAAGUUUUGAACACUUUUUUAGAGAAGCGUGGAUGGAUGGGGUUUCAUUUCGGUGUUGACUAUCUCCUCCAAUUCCAUUUGAUGUCUCUUAUAACUUGGUUUGUCUUUGCAUUUUGGGUUUCUCUAUUGACAUUAUCAAUACAAGAAAUGAGUACAUUUUAUUUAGUGGUCCUAGUCCUUGGUCUCAUCAAUUUAUUCUUCUAAACCUUUUUUCUCCAUGUAUAUCAUCAGUACAUGUAAUGAGUAGAGUCUUUUUGUCAAUGUGUAGCUUGAUAUUUUUAUUGAAUAGUCAUGAAAUUUAGCUUUAUAUGAUAAGAAUUUUUCACAUGAGACUAUUUUGUUAUCUACUUGUUUCUUUUUACUUUUCUACUGGGUUUUAGAGAAAUUUAAUCUGGUGGGAUAUAGUUAGGAUGUUGGCAAAAAAAUAAUAAAUUAGAGAUUGGAAAAUAAGGAGUUUUUAUUGGGCUACAGAAAGAAGGAAGGGGAUUGGGCAUAUGUGCAUGUGGAAUUUGUGGGUUUUGAAAAGAAAAUAGCCCACAAAAUUCAUUAAUCAUGAUGAUAAUGAUGGUUGAUGAAUCUAUCGUCGUCGAGUGGGGAAUGGGGUUAUUAUGGCAAAGGGAAUGCGUAUGAUGAUUGUGUGGGAGGAAGAAGCCAAGUCGAUGGUUUCGUUUUCGAAAUUAAAUGUGCUUUGGUUUUUGCUUCUACUCCAACUCGAGUACUCCAUGACUUUAUCCACUACUACUUACUUCAACAUAUAUAUAUGUUACUAUGUUUAUAAUGUGCAUAUAACAUACAUGUAUAUUAUUAUUGUAAAUAUACUAAAACAAAAGUCAUUGCACCCGAUUCCGUUGUAUCGAUUUCACUCUUUUUCCUGUUCUUUCCAAGUUUUCAGAACCAUCAUCCCUUAAACCCAAGCUCUCUACCUCACGUGAACCAUCACGAGCCAACAAUACGAUAUUGACUAGGUAUAUCAAUAUAUAGAUAAAGAAUACAUAAGGAAGAUACACAGUAUUGGCUUAACAUGGUGCUAAGCUAUGUUUUAUCAUAUAGUUGCCCAAUAUGCGGCUCAUAAUAAAGAUAAGCACAGUGCUUAUUAGCUAAGGAUCUUAAUAAUAUUCUACAUCUAAACAUCUAUAUAAACUAAUGGACGGGGAACAAUGACAAACAAAUGGGAGCAAGUAAAGUUAAAUAAACUUUUGAAAGUAAGUCUUGUUGUGUUUAUUUAACGGAAUGAUUAACCAUCAUUAGAUAUGACUUUCAAUGAGUUGAAAAUUCUGGAUUUUACACUCUCUUUACUUUGGUGGCUCGGAUACGUAAUCAUAAAACCCAUUAAACAGAAAACACAAAGAAAGAAAAGAAGACAGACUUGAUGGAUUAAAAAAAGAGUUAAGAGGAAACACUUGUACUUGUGAUGAAGAUCGAGGUUUUGACGUCCUCUUAACCUUUUGACUACUUUGGCUCCCAACUAAUCAUGAUUUGACCUUUUUCCAGUCAAAAAAAUCUGCCAAAUCGCUUCAUUAAACUCAAGACAAUUCUUACAAACAAAAAGUACAGUUUUCUUGUGCAAAAUUUAAAGCUUAAUCUCACAAAAAUAAGCAGAGGUUAAAUCCACUUUAUUGAUUCUUUUCUUCAACAAAAGGUUAACCAUUUUACUGUAAUAGUAUGUGUAACAUUAAAAAUGUGUGUUCAAAUUUCAAAUUUUAUUCAUUUUUCUUUUAUUCACUUAUAAUCAGAGCGCUAUAAUUAAAUAUUUGAAUUUUGAUACCUUCAAAUAUUUUUUAAGUAAUUUACUAUAUUAAAUAAAUAAAAAUGGAAGAACUUUUGGUCUAGAUCCAUACCUUGUUUUGAGAACCCAAUAAGUGAUCAUUUGGUUGGAACAAGAGACCGAGCCUUACAACCAAAGGGUUAGUUCAUUGUAAUGGUUAGGUCGAAGAUUCAUAAAUUUCAUUUAUACCUAAUCAGAGCUUGUACCAGUAAAAUUUAUUCGGUCUAGAAUAUAUUGUGUAUAUGUAAAUGUAAAGCAUAGUUGUUGGUGUAUAAGAAUAGCCAAAUGUUGCACAGAUUUGACUAACUGUCACCUACAUUUGUAAGGCUCCAUCAAACCAUGUGACUAAGUUGACAAACAAACAUUAUCAUAAGUUAUAGCCUUAUAGGGAACCAAAAUUGUAUAGUUUGUUUCUUCAUGUGUACCUCUUAACUGUGAGUUGAGCUUUAUAGUUUAUAGGGAAACUAUUAAAAUUCUUCUAAAUAGUACGAUUAUCAGUCUAACAAAAAAAAAGAUAAAAUAAUGAUAUGAUAUAGAUAGAGACUGUUUUUGCUAAUACUUGUUCUUCUCCCUCAUAAACAUCUUUCACUGGCCCUUUGUAAUUAUGAUUCUUCUCUUGACAUCAUUGUCUUCUAAAGGAGCAUCUCUAUCUCUCUAUAAAGAAAAUGCAAAACACAACAAACUUUCAUCUAUAUAACGCUUCUAUAUCUCUCCCACUUGAUCAAACACAUCUCACUUCUCCUCUCUGUCUAUUCCUGAUCUCUUCAAGAUCCAAACAUGUGUUUAAGUUCUUCAAAACCAUUCUCACACACACCCACGAGACUAGUCCUGUACCUCAAAACACAAACCCACGUUCGCAUCCCUCGCCUCUCCAGGAGGAGAAAGAUGUGGCGAGAAGAAAAGGAGAUGGAGAUUAACAAUAUAAGACUCUACAUGGAGAAUCAGUACAUGAUUCAAGAAAACGAGAAACUCAGGAAGAAAGCUCUUAUCCUUCACCAAGAAAACAAAGCUCUCCUCUCUCUGCUUCAGACCAAAAACGUUUCCCUUGUUCCAUAAAACAAAAAAAAAAACAAUCUAAGGGCUCUAAAACACAUGCCAGUGUCUUAUCAUAUAAAGGGGUUUAGUAUUAUUACUUGGUAUACAUCUAAUUUUUUUUUAAGUUUCAUCUCUCAUGUAAUCUAUGUAUGUGUGUUCUUUUGUUAAUGGUACGUCAGACCAAAACUA